AUUGAACGCUGGCGGCAGGCCUGACACAUGCAAGUCGAACGGUAACAGGAAGAAGCUUGCUUCUUUGCUGACGAGUGGCGGACGGGUGAGUAAUGUCUGGGAAACUGCCUGAUGGAGGGGGAUAACUACUGGAAACGGUAGCUAAUACCGCAUAACGUCGCAAGACCAAAGAGGGGGACCUUCGGGCCUCUUGCCAUCGGAUGUGCCCAGAUGGGAUUCGCUAGUAGGUGGGGUAACGGGUCGCCAAGGCGACGAUCCCGAGCUGGUCUUAGAGGAGGACCAGCCACCCUGGCACUGAGACACGGCGCAGACUCCUACGGGAGGCAGCAGUGGGGAAUAGUGUACAAUGGGCGAAAGCCUGAUCCACCAAUGCCGCGUGAGCGAUUAAGCCCUUAGGGUGGUAAAGCUCUUGUCCCCGGGAGGAUAAUGACACUACCGGGAGAAUAAGCUCCGGCUAACCCCGUG
Molecule: ribosomal RNA, 465 nt
Filed under: uncultured bacterium
Lineage: Bacteria
Description: partial 16S ribosomal RNA
Rfam family: Bacterial small subunit ribosomal RNA
Source: RNAcentral